RNAcentral lists this ribosomal RNA (506 nucleotides) under uncultured bacterium. RNAcentral's name for it is "partial 16S ribosomal RNA". It matches the Rfam family "Bacterial small subunit ribosomal RNA", at positions 28 to 523 of the family's 1533-position model. The record is from RNAcentral.
GAUGAACGCUAGCUACAGGCUUAACACAUGCAAGUCGAGGGGUAACAAGAGAAUAGCUUGCUUUUCUUGUUGACGACCGGCGCACGGGUGAGUAACGCGUAUCCAACCUGCCUAUAACUAGGGAAUAACCUUGCGAAAGUAAGACUAAUAUCCUAUGAUUCCCUUUGAUGACAUCAGAUUAGGAAUAAAGAUUUAUCGGUUAUAGAUGGGGAUGAGUCUGAUUAGCUUGGUGGAGGGGUAACGGCCCACCAAGGCAACGAUCAGUAGGGGGUCUGGGAGGAAGGUCCCCCACAUUGGAACUGAGACACGGUCCAAACUCCUACGGGAGGCAGCAGUGAGGAAUAUUGGUCAAUGGGCGGAAGCCUGAACCAGCCAAGUAGCGUGCAGGAUGACGGCCCUAUGGGUUGUAAACUGCUUUUAUACAGGAAAAAAGUUAGCCACGUGUGGUUAUUUGUAGGUACUGUAUGAAUAAGGACCGGCUAAUUCCGUGCCAGCCGCCGCCGUAA